CGAUCCAUCCGAUCCAACCACCGCCUUCCCAUCCCGGCCGUGCAACGCCACGCAGCGAGGUGGAGGAGCAGGGAUCCCCACAAAAACAGCACCCCCAGCGACAGCGAGCCGGGUCACGCGACGAGCGAGCGAGAAAAACGAGGCGAGACCUCCGACCCAGCCAGCCCGAAUCUGAAUGGCCUCCGCCACCCCGGCGGUGCCCGACCCCGCCCUCGGCCUCGGCCUCCGCCACCCCGGCGCCCUCGCCCGCCGCAUCGCCAUGGCGCGCGGAGCCGCCGUCGCGCCGGCACUUCGCCCCUGGCUCCUAUUCGACGCCGUGCCCCUCGUCGUCGUCGUCCUCAUCGCCGCGCACGUCCUCGCCCUCGGCUACUGGAUCUACAGGCUCGCCACCGACGGGUCCAAGCACCCCGCGCGGAGCAAGAAACACUAGACAAAGACGGCCGCAGGCCCCCAGUGGCUGCCUCGGUCUCUGCACUUUUGUGCUUGCUCUCCUGUAUUGCCAUUAUAGUAUUUUCAAGCCUUCUUGUGAUCUUGGUGUCUUUUACGCUAUUGGCCUGAAGUCCUCAAGCUAAGUGUUUGACAUUGAAGCUUGUAGCUUGUUAGCCGUCUAGGUUUUUGCAUCUCUGCUUGUUGAUCUCCAAGGGUUCCCGUGUGAAGUGAUGGCGUGGCGAAACUCAUGAAAGAAGUGGAGGCAGGAAACCCGUCACUUGGAGUGAUCUGUUCAGAUGUUGGUUUCGAACGUGGCGUGAGCUGGUGCGUGAAAAGGGGCCGUCUAUGGCCAUACAUAGCAUAGCUUUGAGUUGUUGAAAAGGUUUGUCUACUCAUAGAUGAUGUUUCUGUGUAAAAGACCUUUAGCUAGAUAUAAGUGCUCCCAUUUUCAUCUGAUGUGGGCUUGUAUAAUCAUACGAGAGCAUCUUUUUCUUUGCCCCUGACCAUGUAAGGUUGGCAUUGAAGUUUC
Hordeum vulgare subsp. vulgare (domesticated barley) is the source of this 958-nucleotide RNA transcript. RefSeq lists it as uncharacterized. The record is from RefSeq and is a predicted model, not a curated record. Lineage: Eukaryota; Viridiplantae; Streptophyta; Magnoliopsida; Poales; Poaceae. The transcript is spliced from 4 exons.